GAUGAACGCUGGCGGCGUGCCUAAUACAUGCAAGUCGAGCGAACAGACGAGGAGCUUGCUCCUCUGACGUUAGCGGCGGACGGGUGAGUAACACGUGGAUAACCUACCUAUAAGACUGGGAUAACUUCGGGAAACCGGAGCUAAUACCGGAUAACAUGUUGAACCGCAUGGUUCAACAGUGAAAGACGGUCUUGCUGUCACUUAUAGAUGGAUCCGCGCCGCAUUAGCUAGUUGGUAAGGUAACGGCUUACCAAGGCAACGAUGCGUAGCCGACCUGAGAGGGUGUUCGCCCACACGGAACCUGGGACACGGCCCAGACCCCUAGGGAAGGCACCGGUGGGAAUCCUUCCGAAAUGGGCGAAACCUUAAGGAGGAAACGCGCGGUGGUGGAGGAGGUUCUUCGAUUCGAAAACCCUGGUUUUUGGGAAAAAAAAAUGUGUAAGUAACUAUGCACGUCUUGACGGUACCUAAUCAGAAAGCCACGGCUAACUACGUG
RNAcentral lists this ribosomal RNA (496 nucleotides) under uncultured bacterium. Its description in RNAcentral is "partial 16S ribosomal RNA". It matches the Rfam family "Bacterial small subunit ribosomal RNA", at positions 28 to 507 of the family's 1533-position model. The record is from RNAcentral.